GUGCCUUAAACUAAUGAGUAAGGAAAAUAUAGAGCUUUGGUGACGCUUAGCUAUGCUAAUUAUAUAAGCGACCAUAUUUUUGAAGGGAUAAAGGUCGUCCCAUAGCAGCGUGAACUACUUUUUCGCGCAGCUGGGUGAAGCGAUCUAUCCC
This 151-nucleotide small nuclear RNA is filed under the name Melipona quadrifasciata. RNAcentral describes it as "U12 minor spliceosomal RNA". It matches the Rfam family "U12 minor spliceosomal RNA". Rfam says of the family: Although the U12 sequence is very divergent from that of U2, the two are functionally analogous. Lineage: Eukaryota; Metazoa; Arthropoda; Insecta; Hymenoptera; Apidae. The record is from Rfam by way of RNAcentral.